AUUGAACGCUGGCGGCAUGCCUUACACAUGCAAGUCGAACGGUAACGGGCCUUCGGGUGCCGACGCGUGGCGAACGGGUGAGUAAUACAUCGGAACGUGCCCGAUCGUGGGGGUUAACGAGGCGAAAGCUUUGCUAAUACCGCAUACGAUCUACGGAUGAAAGCAGGGGACCGCAAGGCCUUGCGCGGACGGAGCGGCCGAUGGCCGAUUAGGUUGUUGGUGGGAUAAAAGCUUACCAAGCCGACGAUCUGUAGCUGGUCUGAGAGGAUGAUCAGCCACAGUGGGACUGAGACACGGCCCAGACUCCUACGGGAGGCAGCAGUGGGGAAUUUUGGACAAUGGGCGCAAGCCUGAUCCAGCCAUGCCGCGUGCAGGAUGAAGGCCUUCGGGUUGUAAACUGCUUUUGUACGGAACGAAAAGCCUUCGUUUAAUACAGGAGGGUCAUGACGGUACCGGAAGAAGAAGCACCGGCUAACUACGUG
RNAcentral lists this ribosomal RNA (482 nucleotides) under uncultured bacterium. Its description in RNAcentral is "partial 16S ribosomal RNA". It matches the Rfam family "Bacterial small subunit ribosomal RNA", at positions 30 to 507 of the family's 1533-position model. The record is from RNAcentral.